CUUUUACCGUCAGUAUCACAAUCAUAAAAUCAAGAAAACGUCCAUCCAAAAUGUUUGACUCGGCCUUGACAGCUGAGAGACACUCGACAGUCGCCUAUAUAAAGUAGCCAGUUGUGGAACAGCAUUGGUGUCCAGCGUUGAAGAACUAAAAUUUUGACAGUUCAUUUCAGUUGAAGGAGAAGCAGCAUCCGCCGGAUGGAAGACGAAAUUGAGAUCGAUGGGCUCGAUUUAAAAUAAGCCCCUUACAUGUCGCCGAGGAGUAAGAGAUGGAUCAGUACUCUUGAAGGCCUUGAACGGAACGACGCAACCGAAAACGGAAUCAGCCGGUCGAUCUGACUCCGUCCGUCUUCCUUUAACGGACGAGAUUUCAGCACUUUACCCUCUUCACAGUUCCACACAACAAUUCACUGAUGCUGGGCCGGAUGCGUAAAUGGCCGCGUCGACGGGCAGGAAAACCGCCUCCCUGUAAUCAUCAAUUUGUUGCGGCUAACCGGAGAAUGGGAAGAAGAGGAAGAAUCAUCGAAAUUCCAAUGCAAAGAUAGCAGCACCCAUUCCUGCUUGAUUGUUGAAGAGGAGCUGAUUGCCUUGUUUCAACUUGGACGACACUGAUGAUUCACUUGCGAGCUGGGCUUCCGUUUUUAUUGCGGGAGCCAAGACGAGCUCAAAAUGCACUGCGGGACCGACCGCCCCCUUAUUAUUCAAAAUUCCAUCAACUGAAAGGAGAUGGCUCCCAGUUCAGUUGACUCACUUUAGUCAUCGGUUACCGUCAACCCGCCGAAUUCCCCGUGUUGCUGAGUUGCGCCUUUUUGCUUAAAUUCUUUCGACAUUCUUCGUGAAAAGCGGAAUGCAAAACAACUUGUCGGACAACAAGUUCUUUACUCUUAAUAUGGAGCUUUGAUUUCCGAUUUACAGGGUCAAUGUUUUGGGCGUUGCGCAACGGCAACAGUUUAACUGUAG
This 957-nucleotide long non-coding RNA is filed under the name Daphnia pulicaria. Its description in RNAcentral is "uncharacterized LOC124338381, transcript variant X1". Lineage: Eukaryota; Metazoa; Arthropoda; Branchiopoda; Diplostraca; Daphniidae. The record is from RNAcentral.